This is a non-coding RNA of Lupinus albus (white lupine), 438 nucleotides long. The record is from the annotation of a GenBank genome assembly. Lineage: Eukaryota; Viridiplantae; Streptophyta; Magnoliopsida; Fabales; Fabaceae.
GCCGCACAAGGCUGUUCGAGACGGGCCCUAGAACAUGCGGCGGAGGCUGGUAGCGUUGGCGAGGCUGAGAGGAGAAGAACCCCGUUGUACCAUGUGAAUCGCGUCGCUGUCUGGACGCUGGUUUGGCGGAGGAGGGCGACGCUUCCGCGAACCAGAGAUAAAUGAAGAAGGAUCCCUUCCCUUGAACUUGGGUUUUGAAAGGUUCCCUUUUUAUAAGGAUUGAGAAUUUCCAUUCAUAAAGCCUACAAAUUUUGAAUUUCCAAUCAUGGUUAAUGCUCUUUAUUACCCUUAUUUUCUCCCUGGGUCUUGUCUCUAUGAUUGAAUGCGGUCUAUAUUUAAGCCACAAGAUGGGGUGUAUGGGCAGAAUGUAGGGGAAACUUCUUACUAACAUAAUUGGGUGUAGUUAAUGGAGAAAAUCUGUUUUCUCCUUUAAUGACU